ACCUGGAUAGCUCAGUGGGUUAGAGCAUGGUACUGGUAACACCAAGGUCGUAGGUUUGAGUCCCAUAUGGGGCA
Podarcis lilfordi (Lilford's wall lizard) is the source of this 74-nucleotide non-coding RNA. The record is from the annotation of a GenBank genome assembly. Lineage: Eukaryota; Metazoa; Chordata; Lepidosauria; Squamata; Lacertidae.